CCUAAAAUCUUGUUAGGUACCCACAUGGAAUUAGGCUUCGUCUUCUUCUUGCGCCUGCGACCUCGACUCUGAAAUUCCACAGACUUAAAGCGCCGUUCCGAUCUCCAAAGUCAAGAUUUAAGGGAGAUUUCGUCAUUAGAGAUCCAAAGAAGAUUUCAGACAGAUUCAAUCAAACCACAGUUUUCUUUUUUUCUCCCAGUUUUUGGUUGAUAGAAGCAUCCAUCGACAAACUCAAAAUGUCAUCGAUGAUAAGGAAGUUGGCACAUAGCUGGGUAGGGUCGCACCCGCCGAGAAGGUUGGCUAUCGGAUCCAUCACUUGAGUGGACCUCUCCUGGGAUUGAAACCGCUCUCGAAGGGUUGCAAGGGGGAGGAAGUGAAUUGUAUCCGGAGCAAGCUAAUGAGCCCGAGUGUAUCAUCUAUUACUCUCUUCGUCUAUUCAUUACCGGCGAAUGAAAAAAAAAGUGAUCAAGAACUCAUAAGCAGUCUGCACGAUUGUAUAUCUAUUUGUUAUGUAAUAGCAUAAUAGUCUGAAGUCUGACAAAGCUGAAGAAGAUAAUGAAGAACUCACUGAAACGUGUCGUCCUUAUAGGUCCUCGAUCAGAUUGGUGUUGCCCCUGCAUCUCAGGUUGGUUUUCGUUCUAUAUUUUUGCCAAAUUUGUCCAUGAAACAUUCAGGUUGGUUUAAAUCUAAAACCCAGUUUGUUGCUUCUCUCUAACCCGAGCUCUCCACAAGGUCGAAUUGCAAGAAAUACUUGCUUUGAUAUCUGAGAUUUACUGGAAAUAGAUAAUUCAAUCAUUUCAUUUCGAGAAUACAUAAGCCACCACUGAUUCAUUUCAGCUAGAGGCGGGAAAGGAAGACUAGGAAGAGGUACAGCUCCUCCGGUAAGAGAGCUUCCAAUAAUGCAAUGUUAAUGACGAAUAUGAUUUUUUUGACAAGUAGCCAUGGGUAAAGAGAAGUCACCCAUCAACAUUGUGGUCAUUGGCCACGUUGACUGCUCACCUGAUCUACAAUCUUGGUGGUACUAACAAGUGUGUGAUUGAGAGCUUCGAGAAGGAAGCUGAUGAUAUGUACAAGAUGUCCUUCAAGUAUGUGUGGGUGUUGAGUAUCACCACUAAUAUUGCUCUCCGAAAUUUUGAGACCACCAAGUAGUACUGCACUGUCAUUGAUGCUCCUGGACAUCUUAAUUUCAUCAAGAACAUGAUUGGAGGAAUAGAGGUACUUCCACGUUGAUUGUGCUGUUCUUAUCAUUGACUGCACCACUGUGGUUUUGAAGCUGGUACUUGACUCCACCACUGUGGUUUUGAAGCUGGUAGCUCUGAUGACGAACAAACCUGUUAGCACCCUCGGCCUUCUUUCACCCUUGGUGCAAGCAAAUGAUUUGCUGCUAUCUAUUUUCCAUUGCUUACUAUGAAUAUGUUCUUUUGAUACGAUGCUAAAACGGAUGCAUGUUUAGUUUGUUAAAAAAUCUAAUCAAUCUUUAGAAUGUUUUGA
This is a long non-coding RNA of Raphanus sativus (radish), 1491 nucleotides long. RefSeq lists it as uncharacterized. NCBI's taxonomy places the organism in Eukaryota, Viridiplantae, Streptophyta, Magnoliopsida, Brassicales, Brassicaceae. The record is from RefSeq and is a predicted model, not a curated record. The transcript is spliced from 5 exons.